This 73-nucleotide transfer RNA is filed under the name Marmota marmota marmota (Alpine marmot). It matches the Rfam family "tRNA". From Rfam's summary of the family: Transfer RNA (tRNA) molecules are approximately 80 nucleotides in length. Their secondary structure includes four short double-helical elements and three loops (D, anti-codon, and T loops). Lineage: Eukaryota; Metazoa; Chordata; Mammalia; Rodentia; Sciuridae. The record is from Rfam by way of RNAcentral. RNAcentral also lists the same sequence under 3 other names.
GGGGCUGUAGCUCAAUGGUAGAGCACUUGCCUUAGCAUGUCCAAGGCCCUGGAUUCAGUCCCCAGUACUCCCC